GCUAUGUAGAAUGAACAGUUGAGAUCUUCUCUCCGUGGACUGGCCUUCUUUUGCGUACAGAGCUUUUAGACCCUGUGUACAGGACAAGAUGCCUUCAGUGCACAUCUCAGCGCAUCUUUCCAAAAAAAUAUUUGUUUAACAGACAAUAAAUGAAUUCUUUGUUUGACCUCACUUUGAUCAGAACGCUCUUCCUGAGAACAUCGCGCCCGCUCAGCCCCAACUUAGGAUAGAGCAGUAUAACAGCAGCAGUUCCACCAGGGUUCUCCGCCUCUUGCUCUAGACAGAGAGGGAGAGAUAGAGAGAGAGAGAGAGAGAGAGAGAGAGAGAGAGAGAAAUCAAAUGGG
Molecule: long non-coding RNA, 344 nt
Filed under: Spirodela polyrhiza (greater duckweed)
Lineage: Eukaryota; Viridiplantae; Streptophyta; Magnoliopsida; Alismatales; Araceae
Description: long non-coding RNA (SPOL_LNC001241)
Source: RNAcentral